AGCUCAGCUCCAAUUUGACCCCUAGCAGAGGAACUUCCAUAGGCCACAGGUGCGGCCAUAAAAAGAAAGUAAUAAUAAUAAUAAUAAUAAUAAAUAACAGUAAACUGCAGGCUAGCUGAAGCAGGACCCAAACCUCAUUUCAUUCCCCACUGAGCCUAGCACAGUGUUGGGUACUUAAUCAGGGCAUCUUAUUUCAGGCCUACUUAUGUAUAUAUAUUUCACCUCUUCCUCUUUGGCUUUUAGGCCAAGAAGGUCUCCGAACUUCAAUUUUUCCUUGGGCAAGAGGAGGAAUUUGGAAAAUAUGAUCUAUGUAAGUAAGGUUGCCUCCAGUCCUGACGUUCAUAUGAAAUCAAAAUCCUCUUGGCAGUUCCAAGGAAUCUAUAUACUGAUAAAACAAAUACUGAUGAGGUAACCUCCUUGAGACAUAUGUUGCUUUGCUUUGCUUUCCAAUUAUCAGAUGGCCAAAACAGGAAACAAAAUAGUCCCCCCAAAAUAGCAGGAAGCAAAAUGCCCCCAAGUAACCCUGGGUAAAGAAUGGCUUGUCGAAGUUCCCUGGUGACCUAGCGAUUAAGGAUUGGACAUUGCCACUGCCGUGGCUCCAGUUUGAUCCCUGGCCUGGGAAUUUCCACAUGAUGUGCCGGUAUGGGGGGAAAAAAAGGAAAAGAAAAAAGAAAUAAAACGUCCUCAAGAAGAUUGGAAUGCAAAGUGGGUAUUAACAAAAAAAUGGAUUGUCAAUUGUUAUUCUUUGAAAGGCCAUCAGAAAACCCAUUCCUUAAGCAAAGUAAGUUUAUUAGACCUACCAGAGGAAGAGAGUACAGAAUCUUAAGAAUUCUCAAAAGGUGGAAAUCAAUAGAAGAUACUGAUAGGAUUUGGAGGUCUGGAUUCAGGUGGUUUAAAGUGGAUCUUCCGAAUCAGAGAGACGAUCAGGACAGGAAAGUUGGUGACAUUAUAGUUCAGGCUUGGCAGACACAGGGAAGGAAGGGCCUGAAAGCAAAUCUUGAAAAAGUAAACUAUUGGUUGUUGAGAAAAUUGUUUAUCCAGGUGAGUGAUCUAUUGUCUUAAUCGGAGAGAUGUUUGCCUAGAGGAGCAAAUUAUUUCAGAUAAAUCGGCUUGCAGAAAUUUCAUGAAGCAAAGAGUGAAGUUAUGUAUUGGUUUACAAUCAUAACCUCCCAGGCCUGAAUUUCCUAGAACAAUAAACUAAGUCUUGUCGCUGUAGGAGGUCUCA
RNAcentral lists this long non-coding RNA (1225 nucleotides) under Sus scrofa (pig). Its description in RNAcentral is "lncRNA (ENSSSCG00015007110.1)". Lineage: Eukaryota; Metazoa; Chordata; Mammalia; Artiodactyla; Suidae. The record is from RNAcentral.